UGGGGAAUUUUCCGCAAUGGGCGAAAGCCUGACGGAGCAAUGCCGCGUGGAGGUGGAAGGCCUACGGGUCGUCAACUUCUUUUUCUCGGAGAAGAAACAAUGACGGUAUCUGAGGAAUAAGCAUCGGCUAACUCUGUGCCAG
This 142-nucleotide ribosomal RNA is filed under the name uncultured bacterium. RNAcentral's name for it is "partial 16S rRNA". It matches the Rfam family "Bacterial small subunit ribosomal RNA", at positions 355 to 511 of the family's 1533-position model. The record is from RNAcentral.